RNAcentral lists this ribosomal RNA (498 nucleotides) under uncultured bacterium. RNAcentral's name for it is "bacterial SSU rRNA". It matches the Rfam family "Bacterial small subunit ribosomal RNA", at positions 30 to 524 of the family's 1533-position model. The record is from RNAcentral.
AUUGAACGCUGGCGGUAUGCUUAACACAUGCAAGUCGAACGGUAACAGGCCUUCGGGCGCUGACGAGUGGCGGACGGGUGAGUAACGCGUAGGAAUCUGCCUCAUAGUGGGGACAACGUGGGGAAACUCACGCUAAUACCGCAUACGCCCUACGGGGAAAGACGGGGAGUCUUCGGACCUCGCGCUAUGAGAUGAGCCUGCGUUAGAUUAGCUAGUUGGUAGGGUAAAGGCCUACCAAGGCGACGAUCUAUAGCUGGUCUGAGAGGACGAUCAGCCACACUGGGACUGAGACACGGCCCAGACUCCUACGGGAGGCAGCAGUGGGGAAUAUUGGACAAUGGGCGCAAGCCUGAUCCAGCAAUACCGCGUGUGUGAAGAAGGCCUUAGGGUUGUAAAGCACUUUCAAUUGGGAGGAAAACCUAGCCGGUCAAUACCCGGUAGCUUGACAUUACCUUUAGAAGAAGCACCGGCUAACUCCGUGCCAGCAGCCGCGGUAAU